RNAcentral lists this long non-coding RNA (1011 nucleotides) under Oryza sativa Indica Group (long-grained rice). Its description in RNAcentral is "lncRNA OsMH63_11G013450". The record is from RNAcentral. Lineage: Eukaryota; Viridiplantae; Streptophyta; Magnoliopsida; Poales; Poaceae.
CGAGGAUUCCACGCGCGAAGACAUCGCUCCUUCUCCACCCGCGGCCGCGGAGACCGCGCGCCUCUCUUCCUCGCUCACUACCCCCCGCGUCCUCGCAGGAGCGACACCCCACUGCCGCCGCUCCUCCGCGUCCUUGCCGGACCCGCCGCGGCCGUCCUCCUCGCUCGAUCCUCCUGCUCCCCACUGCCGCCGCUAUGCCGCAUCCUAGCCGGAGCCGCCGCGGCCGUCCUCCUUCUUCCCCACCGCCAUGCCCCGCUGCCGGCGCUACGCCGCGUCCUCACCGGAGACGCGGCCAGAUCGUGCUUCUCCCACUCGGAUCAGCCGCCGGAGCCGACUUCGGCCCCUUCUCCGCCGCCGGAACCGACAUCGACCUCAGCCCCGCGGCCGUCCUUCUUCUUCCCCACCGCGGCGGUUGUCCUCCUCACGGGCUUCUCCUCCGCCCCGCUGCCGGCGCUACGCCGCGUCCUCGCCGGAGCCGCCUCCGUAUCGUGCUUCUCCCACUCGGAUCAGCCGCCGGAGCCACCGCCGGAGCCGACUUCGGCCCCUUCUCCGCUGCCGGAACCGAACUCGACCUCGGCCUCCGACGGCGCCGGGGUGGUCUGCCCUUCCGCCAGACCCACUGCCUCACCCAUAUCAUCGUCGAUCUCGGCUCGCCGGAUUCCUUCGCGACUGUGCAACCAUGACUCCGGAUUGGCCUCUUCCGUUUACCACGCUCCUCCUCCGCCUCGCUCAACACCCAUGGAUCUCCUUUCAGUGAUGCAGUCACAAAGCAUGGAGGGAACUGACGCCUCUUGUCACCACUCACCAACAACAGCAGCAGGAGAAGCGUUGGUCCAACAAUCAGGAGGGCAGACAAAAAAGUCUGAAUCAUCUUUGUUGAUAGGCACCGUCAACUUCCAAUCAAGAGGAUUGCCAUUUAGUUGCAAAGAUCAUUGUGACACAAUUAUGUCCGUGGAUUCUGUUUUGGCCUGUCUUGCUUCUGAAGCACUUGAUUUGGAGAAAAAGGUAUAA